Non-coding RNA from Gasterosteus aculeatus aculeatus (three-spined stickleback), 863 nucleotides. The record is from RefSeq and is a predicted model, not a curated record. NCBI's taxonomy places the organism in Eukaryota, Metazoa, Chordata, Actinopteri, Perciformes, Gasterosteidae.
ACUGCAGCACCAACUGAACUGUCAAUCAACCGAGGACCCAUCACAGUUAGACCUCAUAGGGACACAUUUGACUUCCUGCCUGUCCCCGUCAUUCUUCAAAGCAAAGGACGAGAAAACACCUGCCUGUCUUUGCCUCACUUCCUGUCUGGCUCUGAGAUUCUGGAUCAGCUCAUACCGACCAGGACAUCCUGCCACCACUGCAGCAGCAGAGCAGAUGUUGAAGCACCGUGUUAACUGUUCAUCAUCAGUGGACACUUGCUGGACCACAGAGACACGUGUUCCCCCUGCCAGUGUUGAGGUUUCUUCACAACAGAUAAUAAGGUCUUCCUCCUUUGUGAUUCCUCCACUUCACAGUGAAGACACUCAGGACUGCAGAGAGCUGAACACAUAAAAGAAGCUGAACAUCAUGCAGUGUAUUCAGUUUCACUGGACUACAUGUUGAUCUGCUCUGCAGCAGAGUUCAAGGAUCAGGUGUGUGACUGCAAGGAAGAGUCAUCCGUCAGUCAUCACUGUCCCAGUGACAGCCCCACCUUUAUGCAGCUUCAAGCUCCUCCCUAAACCAGCUGUAAAGGCCUCUCCUCCUCCAUGUAGCUAUAGUAACACUAUCCUGACGUGAUGACUGGAGCAGUGGAUCUACAGCCGCUGCACAGGUCAAAGGUCAUAAUGUUACAAGUCUUCAAAGCAUACACUACUAACUCAUGAACAGUAUUACUACAGGACACCUGUCUAUUUUGUUUGUUUAAUCUCUACCGUAUUUGAUCUAACAAUAUACGUUUUCCUUAUGUUUCAUCGCAUUUUUUUUUGUUGAUUGUAUUUAUUUAUGUAUUUAUUAUUUAUUUGUCAUCCGUCCCUUUUCAGUCAGA